GGCGCGUUGGCGGAGUGGUUACGCGAAGGUCUGCAAAACCUUAGACACGAGUUCGAACCUCGUACGCGCCUCCA
RNAcentral lists this transfer RNA (74 nucleotides) under Candidatus Saccharimonadota bacterium. Its description in RNAcentral is "tRNA-Cys". It matches the Rfam family "tRNA". Rfam says of the family: Transfer RNA (tRNA) molecules are approximately 80 nucleotides in length. RNAcentral also lists the same sequence under 2 other names. The record is from RNAcentral. Lineage: Bacteria; Candidatus Saccharimonadota.